GCAGCCUGCAACUCGGCUGCAUGAAGCUGGAAUCGCUAGUAAUCGCGGAUCAGAAUGCCGCGGUGAAUACGUUCCCGGGUCUUGUACACACCGCCCGUCACACCAUGGGAGUAGGUAAUGCCCGAAGUCGGUGACCUAACCGGAAGGAAGGAGCCGCCGAAGGCAGGACUUAUAACUGGGGUGAAGUCGUAACAAGGUAUC
This 201-nucleotide ribosomal RNA is filed under the name uncultured bacterium. Its description in RNAcentral is "partial 16S ribosomal RNA". It matches the Rfam family "Bacterial small subunit ribosomal RNA", at positions 1300 to 1500 of the family's 1533-position model. The record is from RNAcentral.